UUGAGCGAAGCGGUCGGGGUUAGGACUCCGAUAUACGAGCCAAAGGUUAGCCGAACGGCAUGGGAAGGCCGUCCGCAGAGGGUGAGAGACCCGUAGGCGAAAACCGAAUGGCAGUUAGGAGUAUCCAGAGUACCGCCGGACACGUGAAACCCGGUGGGAAGAUGGGGGGACCACCCUCCAAGCCUAAAUACUACCCAGUGACCGAUAGAGGAGCAGUACCGUGAGGGAAAGGUGAAAAGAACCCCGUGAGGGGAGUGAAAGAGAACCUGAAACCUUGUGCCUACAAGCACCGAGAGCGCGUUUACGCGUGAUCGGGUACCUUUUGUAGAAUGGUCCGGCGAGUAAAUCUUGCAUGCGAGGUUAAGGUACUGGAGUACCGGAGCCGCAGGGAAACCGAGUCUGUCAUGGAGGGCCGAACCCACGUCUGUUGAAAAAGCCGGGGAUGAGGUGUGGAUAGCGGAGAAAUUCCAAACGAACCCGGAGAUAGCUGGUUCUCCCCGAAAUAGCUUUAGGGCUAGCGUUGUGUAUAGAUUCCCGGAGGUAAAGCACUGAAUGGGCUAGGGGCCGAUAAGGUUACCGAACCCUAUCAAACUCUGAAUGCCGGAGAAUUGUUUCACAGCAGUCAGACAGCGUGAGAUAAGUUUCGUUGUCGAGAGGGAAACAGCCCAGACCUACGUCUAAGGUCCCUAAUAACCGCUAAGUGGAAAACGAUGUGGAGCUGCUAAAACAACCAGGAUGUUGGCUUAGAAGCAGCCAUUCAUUCAAAGAGUGCGUAAUAGCUCACUGGUCGAGUGGCUCUGCGCGGAAGAUAUAACGGGGCUAAGCGGUUAACCGAAGACUAGGCUGACGGGCAAUUGACAAUGAACAAUUGAUAAUUGACAAUUAGGGGGCGCGAGAUAUGCGCGAGAAUGUCGUUUUGGAAAAGAGCAAACAAUUUGCCGUGCGAAUUGUGAAGCUGUAUCAGCAUCUUGAAAAAAGAGAGCGGGUACUUUCCAAACAGCUCCUGCGGAGCGGAACGAGCAUUGGCGCGAAUGUCAAUGAAGCGCUGCAAGGUCAAAGCAGACGCGAUUUUACAGCAAAGAUGUCCAUCUCACUCAAGGAAGCCGUGGAGACGGAGUAUUGGUUGGAACUGCUGUAUAAGACCGAAUAUUUGACCGAUGCGGAAUAUGAAAAUAUCGGUGCGGAUUGCGGCGAGUUGGCGAGAUUGCUGACGGCGAUCGUAAGAAGCGCAAGAGAGACGCAUCCUUAAUUGUCCAUUGUCAACUGUCAAUUGUCAAUUGUCCGUCGGGGUAGGGGAGCGUAUGAGAAUGCCGGAAUAAGUAGCGAGAAUUAUGUGAGAAUCAUAAUGGCCGAAAAUCUAAGGUUUCUUGGGGAAGGUUCGUCCGCCCAAGGUAAGCCGGAAGCUAAGGCGAGGCCGAAAGGCGUAGCCGAUGCACAUACGGUGGAAAUUCCGUAGCCGCCGACAUUUAAGUCAGGAGGACACUUGAGAAUAGCUCGACCCCGGCGUUGGUUGACCGGGGCGUAAGGGACCGAAAUUAGAGUAGGGAAGCGAGCGGUACCGCAAACCGACACAGGUAGAUGAGGAGAGAAUCCUAAGGCCAACGGGAGAAGGGUUGUCAAGGAACUCGGCAAAUUGACCCCGUAACUUCGGGAGAAGGGGUGCCUGCGCAAGCAGGCCGCAGAGAAUAGGCCCAAGCGACUGUUUAUCAAAAACACAGGUCUCUGCAAAGUCGAAAGACGACGUAUAGGGGCUGACGCCUGCCCAGUGCCGGAAGGUUAAAAGGAGAUGUUAGGCUCCAUCGAGCGCUUUGCGCCGAAUGGAGAACCAUUAGCAAUUGACAAUGAAUAAUUGACAAUUGACAAUUUAGGAAUCGCGCGAAGCGCGAUGAUUCAAAAUCAUCCGCAAAGCGGACUCCAUAAUUGUCCAUUGUACAUUGUCAAUUGUCAAUUGCCAACGCGGAGCGUUGGAUGGAGCCGAAGCAUUGAAUUGAAGCCCCGGUGAACGGCGGCCGUAACUAUAACGGUCCUAAGGUAGCGAAAUUCCUUGUCAGGUAAGUUCUGACCCGCACGAAUGGCGUAACGAU
Molecule: ribosomal RNA, 2084 nt
Filed under: termite gut metagenome
Description: bacterial LSU rRNA
Rfam family: Bacterial large subunit ribosomal RNA
Source: RNAcentral